This 586-nucleotide ribosomal RNA is filed under the name Bdellovibrio sp. MTA. RNAcentral describes it as "bacterial SSU rRNA". It matches the Rfam family "Bacterial small subunit ribosomal RNA", at positions 173 to 780 of the family's 1533-position model. The record is from RNAcentral. Lineage: Bacteria; Pseudomonadati; Bdellovibrionota; Bdellovibrionia; Bdellovibrionales; Pseudobdellovibrionaceae.
CCACAAGAACUGCGGUUCAAGGGGUCAAAGGUUUUUCGCUCUAAGAUGAGUCCGCGUAAGAUUAGCUAGUUGGUGAGGUAACGGCUCACCAAGGCGACGAUCUUUAACUGGUCUGAGAGGAUGAUCAGUCACACUGGAACUGAGACACGGUCCAGACUCCUACGGGAGGCAGCAGUAGGGAAUAUUGCACAAUGGAGGAAACUCUGAUGCAGCGACGCCGCGUGAGUGAUGAAGGCCUUCGGGUCGUAAAGCUCUGUCGCAGGGGAAUAACACAAUGAAGGUACCCUGUAAGAAAGGAUCGGCUAACUUCGUGCCAGCAGCCGCGGUAAGACGAGGGAUCCUAGCGUUGUUCGGAAUCAUUGGGCGUAAAGCGGGUGUAGGUGGCUUUGUAAGUCGGGUGUGAAAGCCUGGGGCUUAACCCCAGAAGUGCAUUCGAUACUGCGAAGCUUGAGUGGUAGAGAGGAUAGUAGAAUUGUUGGUGUAGUGGUGAAAUACGUAGAUAUCAACAGGAAUACCGGAGGCGAAGGCGGCUAUCUGGCUACACACUGACACUCAGACCCGAAAGCGUGGGGAUCAAACAGGAUUA